RNAcentral lists this ribosomal RNA (2225 nucleotides) under Escherichia coli. RNAcentral's name for it is "partial 23S ribosomal RNA". It matches the Rfam family "Bacterial large subunit ribosomal RNA", at positions 638 to 2843 of the family's 2925-position model. The record is from RNAcentral. Lineage: Bacteria; Pseudomonadati; Pseudomonadota; Gammaproteobacteria; Enterobacterales; Enterobacteriaceae.
UAGCAAGGUUAACCGAAUAGGGGAGCCGAAGGGAAACCGAGUCUUAACUGGGCGUUAAGUUGCAGGGUAUAGACCCGAAACCCGGUGAUCUAGCCAUGGGCAGGUUGAAGGUUGGGUAACACUAACUGGAGGACCGAACCGACUAAUGUUGAAAAAUUAGCGGAUGACUUGUGGCUGGGGGUGAAAGGCCAAUCAAACCGGGAGAUAGCUGGUUCUCCCCGAAAGCUAUUUAGGUAGCGCCUCGUGAAUUCAUCUCCGGGGGUAGAGCACUGUUUCGGCAAGGGGGUCAUCCCGACUUACCAACCCGAUGCAAACUGCGAAUACCGGAGAAUGUUAUCACGGGAGACACACGGCGGGUGCUAACGUCCGUCGUGAAGAGGGAAACAACCCAGACCGCCAGCUAAGGUCCCAAAGUCAUGGUUAAGUGGGAAACGAUGUGGGAAGGCCCAGACAGCCAGGAUGUUGGCUUAGAAGCAGCCAUCAUUUAAAGAAAGCGUAAUAGCUCACUGGUCGAGUCGGCCUGCGCGGAAGAUGUAACGGGGCUAAACCAUGCACCGAAGCUGCGGCAGCGACGCUGAUGCGUUGUUGGGUAGGGGAGCGUUCUGUAAGCCUGUGAAGGUGUGCUGUGAGGCAUGCUGGAGGUAUCAGAAGUGCGAAUGCUGACAUAAGUAACGAUAAAGCGGGUGAAAAGCCCGCUCGCCGGAAGACCAAGGGUUCCUGUCCAACGUUAAUCGGGGCAGGGUGAGUCGACCCCUAAGGCGAGGCCGAAAGGCGUAGUCGAUGGGAAACAGGUUAAUAUUCCUGUACUUGGUGUUACUGCGAAGGGGGGACGGAGAAGGCUAUGUUGGCCGGGCGACGGUUGUCCCGGUUUAAGCGUGUAGGCUGGUUUUCCAGGCAAAUCCGGAAAACUAAGGCUGAGGCGUGAUGACGAGGCACUACGGUGCUGAAGCAACAAAUGCCCUGCUUCCAGGAAAAGCCUCUAAGCAUCAGGUAACAUCAAAUCGUACCCCAAACCGACACAGGUGGUCAGGUAGAGAAUACCAAGGCGCUUGAGAGAACUCGGGUGAAGGAACUAGGCAAAAUGGUGCCGUAACUUCGGGAGAAGGCACGCUGAUAUGUAGGUGAAGUCCCUCGCGGAUGGAGCUGAAAUCAGUCGAAGAUACCAGCUGGCUGCAACUGUUUAUUAAAAACACAGCACUGUGCAAACACGAAAGUGGACGUAUACGGUGUGACGCCUGCCCGGUGCCGGAAGGUUAAUUGAUGGGGUCAGCGCAAGCGAAGCUCUUGAUCGAAGCCCCGGUAAACGGCGGCCGUAACUAUAACGGUCCUAAGGUAGCGAAAUUCCUUGUCGGGUAAGUUCCGACCUGCACGAAUGGCGUAAUGAUGGCCAGGCUGUCUCCACCCGAGACUCAGUGAAAUUGAACUCGCUGUGAAGAUGCAGUGUACCCGCGGCAAGACGGAAAGACCCCGUGAACCUUUACUAUAGCUUGACACUGAACAUUGAGCCUUGAUGUGUAGGAUAGGUGGGAGGCUUUGAAGUGUGGACGCCAGUCUGCAUGGAGCCGACCUUGAAAUACCACCCUUUAAUGUUUGAUGUUCUAACGUUGACCCGUAAUCCGGGUUGCGGACAGUGUCUGGUGGGUAGUUUGACUGGGGCGGUCUCCUCCUAAAGAGUAACGGAGGAGCACGAAGGUUGGCUAAUCCUGGUCGGACAUCAGGAGGUUAGUGCAAUGGCAUAAGCCAGCUUGACUGCGAGCGUGACGGCGCGAGCAGGUGCGAAAGCAGGUCAUAGUGAUCCGGUGGUUCUGAAUGGAAGGGCCAUCGCUCAACGGAUAAAAGGUACUCCGGGGAUAACAGGCUGAUACCGCCCAAGAGUUCAUAUCGACGGCGGUGUUUGGCACCUCGAUGUCGGCUCAUCACAUCCUGGGGCUGAAGUAGGUCCCAAGGGUAUGGCUGUUCGCCAUUUAAAGUGGUACGCGAGCUGGGUUUAGAACGUCGUGAGACAGUUCGGUCCCUAUCUGCCGUGGGCGCUGGAGAACUGAGGGGGGCUGCUCCUAGUACGAGAGGACCGGAGUGGACGCAUCACUGGUGUUCGGGUUGUCAUGCCAAUGGCACUGCCCGGUAGCUAAAUGCGGAAGAGAUAAGUGCUGAAAGCAUCUAAGCACGAAACUUGCCCCGAGAUGAGUUCUCCCUGACUCCUUGAGAGUCCUGAAGGAACGUUGAAG